GGCUGGGGGGUUAAACAUCCCUUCCCCCACUCAAACUUAGUCCAGGCUGCAACUGUGGACUUCAAAUCCACAGGAAGUCCACAGUUCCCCAGAGGAAGUUAUGAGAAACCCUGUAGAGUCCAGCUGUUGUAAUUCUAGACUGCAAAUCCCAGAGACCUUGGGGGCAGUAGGAAGAGGAAGUGAACACACAGCCAGAGGGCCCUGCUCUAGUGCCCCCCUCCCAAGCUUCUGGCCUGGGCCACUGCAGGCCUUGCUGGAGUAUGGAUUGAUAUAAACACUGACCAGCGCAUAUACAAAUCACACAGGCCCUGCUAACAGCGUGAACUGAAGUUGAAUUAAUUGUGGCACAGGCAGGAAAUCACACCCACCAAGGAGAGAAAGGUGUCAAUGAAACAUCACUCUUGGCAA
Molecule: long non-coding RNA, 408 nt
Organism: Alligator sinensis (Chinese alligator)
Lineage: Eukaryota; Metazoa; Chordata; Crocodylia; Alligatoridae
Exons: 3
Source: RefSeq, a predicted model, not a curated record